This 1063-nucleotide ribosomal RNA is filed under the name uncultured Ascomycota. RNAcentral describes it as "eukaryotic LSU rRNA". It matches the Rfam family "Eukaryotic large subunit ribosomal RNA", at positions 1 to 1079 of the family's 3401-position model. Lineage: Eukaryota; Fungi; Ascomycota. The record is from RNAcentral.
UCUUUGACCUCGGAUCAGGUAGGGAUACCCGCUGAACUUAAGCAUAUCAAUAAGCGGAGGAAAAGAAACCAACAGGGAUUGCCCUAGUAACGGCGAGUGAAGCGGCAACAGCUCAAAUUUGAAAUCUGGCUCUCUUUGGGGGUCCGAGUUGUAAUUUGCAGAGGAUGCUUUGGCAUUGGCGGCGGUCUAAGUUCCUUGGAACAGGACAUCGCAGAGGGUGAGAAUCCCGUACGUGGGCGCCUGCCUUUGCCGUGUAAAGCUCCUUCGACGAGUCGUGUUGUUUGGGAAUGCAGCUCUAAAUGGGAGGUAAAUUUCUUCUAAAGCUAAAUACCGGCCAGAGACCGAUAGCGCACAAGUAGAGUGAUCGAAAGAUGAAAAGUACUUUGGAAAGAGAGUCAAAAAGCACGUGAAAUUGUUGAAAGGGAAGCGCUUGCAGCCAGACUUGCCCGCAGUUGCUCACCUAGGCUUUGGCCUGGGGCACUCUUCUGCGGGCAGGCCAGCAUCAGUUUGGGCGGUCGGACAAAGGCCUCUGUCAAGUAUCUCCCUUCGGGGUGACCUUAUAGGGGAGGCGUAAUGCGACCAGCCCGGACUGAGGUCCGCGCAUCUGCUAGGAUGCUGGCGUAAUGGCUGUAAGCGGCCCGUCUUGAAACACGGACCAAGGAGUCUAACAUUUAUGCGAGUGUUUGGGUGUCAAGCCCGGGCGCGCAAUGAAAGUGAACGGAGGUGGGAACCCUUUGGGUGCACCAUCGACCGAUCCUGAUGUCUUCGGAUGGAUUUGAGUAAGAGCAUAGCUGUUGGGACCCGAAAGAUGGUGAACUAUGCUUGAAUAGGGUGAAGCCAGAGGAAACUCUGGUGGAGGCUCGCAGCGGUUCUGACGUGCAAAUCGAUCGUCAAAUUUGGGCAUAGGGGCGAAAGACUAAUCGAACCAUCUAGUAGCUGGUUCCUGCCGAAGUUUCCCUCAGGAUAGCAGUAACGUUUUCAGUUUUUAUGAGGUAAAGCGAAUGAUUAGAGGCAUGGGGGUUGAAACAACCUUCACCUAUUCUCAACUUUAAAUAUGUAAGAA